AUAAGCAGAGGCUUAAGUGAUCAGCUCUUCAGAUGUUAUUUCUGCUCUUGAAGUGAUCAGCUCUGUUCAGCCCAGCCAGCUCCAUUCAUGGACAAGAGACAGGACAUCAUGUGGCAUUCUGCAGAAAGGCUUUAUUGCAAGCUUCAACAAAGGGGGGCAGUGAUGACCUAACCACUGAACUGGGAAAAAGCUGGGUUUUUAUUGGGAAGGGAAGAAUUGGAAAGAGGACCAAUAGUUAACAGGAAGAUAGCAUGGGGUUCUGAAGCAGGAAGGGGUUCACAGCUUAGUCACCAUGACUAGGCAGUUUUGUCUUAUCUUAGGGGGCAGAUCUCCAGGGAGGAAUCCUGUCAAAGGACAGGGCUUCCUCCACAGAUGGAAAUUUAGCAAGGUAAAGAAGGGGAAAGAAUAUUUUACAGGAACAGAAGAAAGAAACACUACUUUGCACCAUGAUUAUCCCAAAAAUCUAACUCGGACAGAAGAGCACAACAUCUACCAGAUAACAGGCAAUGUUAACUGAUGGUAAACUCAGACUCUCUUCUUUUCCUUGAAAUGUCUUCAAGAAGAACUGAGUAUUGCUUGGAAAAUGGCACUGAAGAUGUCCUAUGAAGCUGAUUUCACAGAAAACUCACAGUAAGCCCCACAGAACUGUGUAAAGUAGAAAAAAGGAUGACAAAAGGAGGAGAUGAUUCAAGAUUCAAGAAAAUACUAAUCAUCUUAUUCAGAACGGUAUUUAAAGAUCUAAGAAAAUGGGCAGGCUAGUGUCUUCAUUCAGUUGAAUGAAUCUCCAAAUUCAACUUCUGUCUUUGGCUAUUUUAUAUUUUUGGAGUGAUAUUUUUGGAGGCUUAGGAUUGAGAAAUCAUAUGAAAACACAACUGGGAGUAGUACUACUGUAGUAUUUUGAAAUGAAUUAAUAUGCAUGAAAAAAUCAACAGCCUAGAAACAAAAAAGCUGGGUGUGCAGCUGCACUGUCAUUACCCAAAUGGACAGAGAAAUGAACGUCUGCCAAAGCAAAAUAAGCUCCAUGGCAAUGUGACACUUUUACAAAGCAUAAACCUCCCUGGAGCAGCAAAAAAAAAUAGUACUGAAACAGACUCUAAUCAAGAAAAAGUUAUUUUAUUACUCCAGUAAAUUUCUUACCGGCAUUAAUAAAUGCUAGGAAGAUUCCCUAGCACCAUCUUUUAACAAAUACUGACUGUUACUUUUGAUCAGGUGAAAUGGGACAUAUAUCCACUGCCUAAAAAGGCUUAUCAAGCUCCAACUUAGAAAGUCCUUUCCAUUUCACUAACUUGGGAACUCAACUCUCAAUUAUCCUUUGGCUGACUGGGAAGGACAAGUGGGGGGAAAGCAGUGUGAGUUUCACUACAAGCCAGAUGAAAAAACUUGGAAAAAUUAGGUCAGGUUUGGAAACAAGUUAGCUCAGAAGCUUUCUGUACCUCUAGUCACAUCUCUGCUUCAGCUUUUAUACCUGUAGAAUAAAAAUAAUUUUACUUUGACAUAUAUUAUGUUAAAAAAAAAAAAAAAAAGACAACAACCAUGUCUGCUCUGUCUUUUUGUUAGUUUCCAAACAAUUAGACUGACCAUCUUCUUGUGAAAGGGGGUGAACCCCCAUCAGUGUUCACACAGCCUUGGAAAUGCAGAGGGUGCUCUCAGUAUUACAGCCCACAGACAGAUGACUGUCCUCUCUUCUGGACAGUUUGAUUUUAUCCUUUUUUGUGUCUAUCCAAAGGUGAUACCAAAAUGUGUGAGGCUACUUUCACAAGCAGCAGUUAAGCUCUUGCUUAUGGGAGCCAAGUAUUUGUGCUGUCUGUGCUCACAAUAACCUCGCCUAUAAUGAAGCAUCUUUGCAGCACCUUCUUUAAUCAAUGGACAUCUGAAACAGAGCUCAGUCAAUUAGGACACUGUCCUCUAAUGCCUGCUGAGUCCUUUGUCUGCCAAUGAAUCACCGGUCCCUGAUGAUUUCUCAUUUAAAGGUCAAAUCUGCUAUGAAGGACAGAUAGAAACCAUCUGGCUUUCCUGUAGAAAAAUAAAAAGCUUUUUCUGUUAGGAGGUGACAAUGCUGAAUCCAUUAGCUACAUCUGAAGAGUGAUGGUGCACCUCUUCCUUACGCAAAACUGACUACAUAAUUGACUCCAGAUUUUAGUCAUUACUACUUACAAUUUAUAGCACUGGCUAAUUUUACAAAGCCCAACAAUUAGCAAUUAGCACUGCAGCUGUGCUGGAAAUGGAAAAGCAAGGAGCAGUGGCAGGAAAAAAGUGAGUGCAGUGAUACCUUCAUUGUAUUAUCAGUUAAGCAUUGACAAAUCAAUGUAACGAUUUCAGCCCAGCCUUUUUCCUGAAAUCUGACAAAUGGAAAAGCAUAUGUAAAAAGUGGAAAAUUUAGAGACAAUUAUCUCAGGGGCCAGAGAAAGGAAGACACAAACUGAGGAGAAUCCUCUUCUACCUUUCAAUUUAAUUCCAUUUUGUGACAUUUUUGAGCCAGGUUUUCAGAAAAGCCUAAAUCAGAGAGUGGCAGUAGGAGAUGGUGUCAUGAACCGUGAGGUGAAGUACACUAUACUGACAGCUCUCUUUAUAAAUACUGAGAGGACAAAAGGAGAUUAAAGGAUCAAAAAGACUACUAACUUUAAGCUUUGCAGUUACUUUUUCUUGUCAAAAACUGACAAGGUUUUUAUUAUAAAACUAAACAUCAAGAACCUGAAAAGGGUUUCUCCAGGUUUGAGGAUGGAGACAAUUUUGUGCAGUUGGUAAUCCUGUUUUCCGGGUUUUCCUACAGGGAACGUAGUGAUCAAAACUGGAAUGAGGGAAGUAAGUCAGUAAGCUUUUUCUUGCAACUAUGGAGUACUAGGCUUUUUUUCCAUAAAUACUGGGUAAACUCACUGAGUGAUAUUCUGUAUAUCCACUGUAUACCCACUGCAAGCAGACAGCUGGUUCAGAAACCCAUUUUCCAUACACUCUUCAAGAACAGUUUGCAACUUCAAACAAGGCUUUGUUUGUUUUCAAGUCAAUGCUUAUUUUCACUUAUUUUCAGUCCAAUUUUAGCUGUGAGAAUGCACAGGUUAAGAUCAGCACUGAUUUAAUUUCUAAAAAAAAAAAAAAAAAAGUUACGCAAAGCAAGUAGGAAGGCACUGCCAAAUUUGAUUUGAUGUGCUCUAAAUUUGUAUCUUCAGAUGAAGCCAUAGGGAGUUUGUUUCUUUUCUUGCUAGCUAGAAAAAAUUAUCCCCAUUGCCAUCUUCCUUUGGUAAGUUAAUCAGUUUGUGUAGUUUGCUCUCCUUUUGAACAAUAAGAUUGUGGAAGUUCCUUCAAGCAGGACAGGCAAAGAGCAGCCAGAUGUACGUAGACCAUCCUGUGCCAAUAAACCAUGUCAAAGAGGUGCAAUCUAUACUUAUUUUACAGAAUGUUGUACAUGAUAUGAGCUACUGUUCCAAUUUUUCCUUUGAUCUGUAUUUCUCCCAAGACAUUUCACAACUUUUGGACAGAAAGAACACUUGGACAAUACACCUUGUGUUAGAUUUUAAGCUUGAUUAUACAAUUGCAUUGUCUCAGUGAGCUCGCUGGGAUGUCCCACUGUUAUUAGAUAGUAGAGGAUAAUUUGGAAAAAAAACAAACCCAACCAGUCUGAGUCUGCCUUUGUUCCUCAGGUUAGUAGCUAUAUUCUUUAAGAAUAUUUCCCACGCUCAGAUUUUUCUAAGAGGUCUCAUUUAACAUAUCAGUAUGAAAUUCUUGGAAAAAAAGUAAUUACAACUCAAAAUAAUCCAAGGCCUCACAGAAGAGGACAUGUUUUACUGAAGUUUCUUAAUGAUCUUAUUUGGUUUCAUUCUAUGACUGAAAGUAAGAAAGUCCUUCCAACAUCUUCUCUUAACUACUCUAACUAGUGAGCAUCCCAUUAUCAAACACCUAUACAUUACAGGAAAUGCAAGAGACAAUAAAACAAAUCAAGACAUGGAAAAUUGAAGUAGUAUUCUUUAUUUUAUUUCAACUUAUUUUAUUCUAGCCAUCAUUACCAUAUAGUAGAUGCAGAUUUUAUUUUUAUUUAGAAUAUGUGCAUGAUUACUAAAAUCAAACCUUCAUUCUGGGUCUAAGACUGCCGUAGAUUAUUUGCUGAAAGUUUAGGAAACUGGAACACAAAAAUUAUUUCUGAAUGCAGUUUUUACACCUUUCUGUAACCAGCAGGCAGACACACCCUGCAAAUCCCUUCCUGCCCACUGGUGGCACAGGAUGUCCCUUUGUGAAGACAAAGUUUAGACUGGGAGUUCAGGGACUGUCUAACAUUGCAAUGCUUUCACUAUGAGGAAGCAGAAUUGUGGCCAUUAAAGAAAAGUCAUUCUUUAGCAAUAACGUUUAGAAUAAUUCAUGCCUACUUCAAAACAGCAGUAUAGCUACACCUACGGAAAAGUUCCAGUCAAAGAUCUUUAUGCCAAACAAAUUGUUUGACAAAAUAAUUGCAGUGUUGUAUUUCAAUAUGCAUUGUAAGAUAUAUAAUAUAUAUACUACUUCAGUAAGCAUUCCUUUGUUUUACAAAAAAGGAAAUUACUCUCCUUGCAGUUUAAUCAUCAAACUAGUAUUCUGAAUAAUCUUCAAAUUUAGAUAAAGCUAACCUAUUGUGUGGCCUGUAAGCCCAAAGCCUGACUUGCUCCAGGCCCUUAAUGCAAAAGAAGGGCUCUACAGGUAAGUGAGCAUAAGUGUUGCCACUACAGCCCCAAUGAGGAAAAUGCUGGCUAUGAACUUCACCUCUACUCUUCACCAGGACACCUUCUUAGAUACAAAAACAUUUGUAAAUCUCCACCUUUGUCUUCUGUAAAAGUGGCUAUUGACUUGUCUCACAUAUCAAAGGUAAUUUGAUUUUGCAGGUCAGUCCAAAAUGGAUCUUCACCUAAUUUGAGUCUGUUGAAAUAUAUAUGGAUUUUUUGUUAAAGCUUUAAGGAAAAAAUAAAAAUCAAUUGAGAUGCUGAAAGCAUUUAUUCAAUUUUUCUACAACAAGGUACAGUAUUACCUUGUUAAAUGACUGAAUCAAAUUGCCACUCACCCCAAGAGAGGGAAGGCACCUUGUCCCUUUUUUUAUUAGCUCUAACAAAGCUUAUAACUGAUUUCAGAUGGGCUAAUGGGUAUUUAAUACCCCAAACAACUUUUCUAGCACAUUAUUUUACAAAAAACCCCAAACAACAAUGAUCUAUUCAUUGUUAUAUACCAGGUUUAGAUGAUUCUGAUACUAGCCCAUUUAAAGGUAUUUUGUGGUUUAUCUUUUUUAAAGUAAAACAAUAAAAUGAAAAAUUGAGAAGUAAAGAAAACAAUUACUUUUUUUUACAGGAGCUUUGAAUAUUGUCAUAAGCGUCCAGUAGAUCAUAAUACCAACAACUGCUUUAUGGAAGGCUCCUCUCCUUACCCACUCUUUAGGGAUUCCAGAAUGAUGUAUUAUUUUUACAGAAAUUUAAAGAGUAUAUUUAAAGGAUAACUUUGAACCAAAAAGACCAAACUGUCUCAAACAAGAGUCAGAAACAGCUGAGAUGUCAAGAAGAGAAACAAGCAAAAAACCCAAAAACAAAAACACAAAAAAAAAACCCAAAAAACCCACCAGAAAACAAACCUUGAGAGAGUUGAACAAUUUGGCUAUCUUCCUGACAAUACUUUAAUCUGCAGGCUUUGUUUUCUGAAGGAAAAAACAAGCACACUAUAACUUAGAAGAACCUGGGGAAGUAGGAUCUUUCCCUCCCAAAGUGAUUUGCAUUCCUUAUCAGAAACACUUGUCUUACUGCUUCAGUUCUAAUUGCUUUCACAUUUUAAAGCCUCUGUGAAUGGACAGCCUGGAAUUCCCCAGUAAAAGUCACAGUCCACCAAGCUGCAGCACUGUCAGAGCUCAGGAUCCCAGUAACUAAAGUGCGCAUUUGAUCUAACAGUGUAUCUGUCAUGUAACAAUGAAGCUCGUUUUCUUUUCAUGCAAUAAAAGCACUGAUAUUUCCAUUUUGUAAUGAGCUUUAGAAGUAACCACACAUGGAUCUAAUUCAGAAUUCAGGUGGUCUGAGCAUGCACUGCUAACACCACAUUUGGGUUUGAACCCACACGGACUCACUUAAGAGCUGGACUUGAUGAUCCUUUUUGGAUCUUUUUGGGUCUUUUGCAACCCAGAAUACUCAGUGGUUCUGAAUUUUCUUUUAGAUUUUGCUGGUUUCCAUGAUCUCCAAAUGUAUGCAAUACUGUCAGGCUCUACAUAAUCUCAGUUUUUAAUUAUUGUACAUAAGUGAACUGUAACUUACUUCUCAGUUGUAGAAAAGACCUUCUAGUUUUCAAUCCUGUAUUUUGAUUUGUUAAUUCAAUAAAACUAUAUUGGAAAGUUACAGAGAGUAAAAAGGAGUUUUACAAGUGUCUGAAAUACACAAUUAUUGCUAUAUUAAAACCAUCCUUUACAAGUAUUUUACAGAACCCAACAUCCUAUUAUCAUGAAUUACUGAAAGCAUAUACCCUUGGACAGCAUUUCUAGUGAGUUUUCCACCAUAAAAUGCAAUGCCAAGAUACUAAUAAGAAACAAGGGUAUUGCAUGUUAAUUAGCAGCAAGCAGCAGAAGACUCUUUGUAAAAAAUAUUAUAGCUGACAAGAACACAUUCACGGCAAGGAUGAACAACACUGUUACACAAUCAACCUGGCCUAGUGGAAGUGGCCCAUGGCAAAGGGAUGGAAUGAGAUCAUCUUUAAGAUCUCUUCCAGCCCAAGUCAUUCUGGGAUUCUUGUGAUCUAAUGACAGGGAACCCUGUAAUGACCAGUAAUGAUUAAGAUUAAAAUGUGUCAUAAGUCUCAAAAUUAUUGGUGCAAACCUUAAACAACAAGCACUUCUUAAGUUCAAUGAAACCACUAGUUUCAGUUCCUGAUGACUGUUUCAGUCAAGCACAAACUUGCCCAAAUUAACCCCUGCUCUACAUGUUGAUGCAUAUUUCAAAUUUAUUAGGAUUUAUGGUGCAUUUAUUAGCAGACUUUACAAUCUAAAAGAAAUACCCCCUCCUUACUGUGUAACUCAUGUUUCCAAUAGGUAGGCAGAGCCAAAUGCAUCUUCUUCAUAAAGAUGGAAUUUUUAAGAUAGGGCUUGCAUACUGUUUGGAAGGUCUCUUCCUUGAAAAGAAGACGCCUCUACAGAAGUGUAGUUACUUCCAGAACUUGGCAGGAACCAUCCCAGUUGCCUACUUUAGUCUUUUAUCUCCCAUAUUCUAUAUAAGUCACCUACUCAAUCUGUAGGGCAUUAGGGACAGAGGUGAGGUUAAAGUACUGAUAAGACGAAAUAAUUUGCUGUCAUUUUAUCAGGAAAACAGCUGAGUGGAGGGAAGAUUGUCAUCUUUACCAUGAAACACAGCACCUGUGAUUAGCUUAGCUUCCUGAAUAUGAAACUGAACAGCUGCAAGAACUCUUUGUAUUGAUUUGAAACCAGGAAACUCUAAAUAGAAAUGCUUGGAUCCAUGAAGAUAAAAUUCUGAAUCUCUGCUAUCAAAGCUUAUUGAAAACAGUGAAGAAUAGCCUGAGAGGCAAUCCACUGUUCGAAUAGAAAUUACACUAAACUUAUUUCCAUUGGAAAUACAGGCUCCACAAAGUCUUUUGGGGAAUUAAAAGAGAGUCCUUCACUAUAAAUCAGGUUAUAAAAACCCCAACAUUUGUCUAAAACGUAAGCGUAAUGAAAUCUAGAUGGAGAUGUAGCCAGUAUUUUUCAUGUCAACUAUUGCUCAAACACCCAAUGGAAAAGAAUGACUGUAGGAGUAAAACAGGUUCACAGUGGAGACUUCUCUGAGCCAGGCUGCUCUUGGGAUAAGGAGUUUAUUAUUUAAGUAGAAGGUGGAAGAGAUCCAUUUAUGCUGCCAGCCACAGCAUAAAUGUGCUCAAACAGGGAGAUAGAGUGGAAAGAGGGGUCCGAGAGCAUGAGAGCAGUCGGCAAUUGAGGGGGUAGAGAGAGAGGGGCAAGAGGGGGGGAAUUAAGAGAUAAAAGUUCUUGUUACAAUAUCUUUUUCUAUGGUGAAUAUUCUAAUUCCCAGUAACCAACCAGGACAUGACACACAUUCUAUAGAAUUUACAUAUAGCCUAUAAGAACUACUACAUUACCAUACAGUGUUAUAUUUCAAACUCUAAAAGCUAUUCUUCAAAUUCUUCUCUUGCUGCUUCCACCUUUGGAUUCACUGUCAGCAUUUGGGUAUUGUUCAGUCAAUAGGGAUUCUCCUUCAGCUGGCUAGGCUAUUGUUCUUUGGUUAUAUAGUAACUAACACUCAGCAGAACUAGUUUUCAUUUCUUUUUCGAUUAUAGGUUUCAUAUUUUCAGAAUCUUCUGCUAAACAAUCAUAUUUAUAAGGUUUCCCUGUUUCAUCUUCUCCAACAAAUGACUUAAGCUGGUAUAAAGGAUAAAGUUAGAAUUACGGGAGACUGACACAUAAGGUCUGCCUUCACAAUGAACAAAAAUUUCUUGUUGAUGAAGAUAUACCUACCGAUACAGCCUACUGGUUUUAAAUCUUCCAUAGACUAGUUUUAUAACUAAAAGAAGACUGGUUUUAUAAAACCAUCCAUGAUUUAAAGGUUUCUAGACUAGAUAGAACAAUCUUUCAUGAUACAGUUAGUGCUGACUGCCUCUCUCCUAAGUUUGAUGGAAGGUGGAAACACUGUUUUUAGCUAAAAUACCCACUGAAACAGAGUGUUAGAGCACAGUUGCAUGGAUGAUAAGAAGCCAUUCUGCAUUCAUGGGCACAUCUGCUAAGUGCUCUCCAAGUACACUCUCCUGUCUUUAAUGAUUCUAGAAAUUGCUCAAAGCUUAUAAAACGAAGCAAGUAUUUUCAGGUGAGAGACAAAUAAGUCAUCAUCACAAGUGACUGAAAAUUUCAUAAUGAGAUGCCCCGGGUUACUGAAAGACAAUGAAAGCUUCACAGUUACCUUUUUUACAGUCUUGUCAGGUUCAAGAGCAAUAUCUGGAAUGUUUGCAUCCACCAUGAGUGAGAAUAAAUUCAAGAUCAAGUUGGAAUACCUAAGCAGAAGAACAAACUAUUAAAACACUUUGUAAAUUGUACAGAAGACAUUUUGUAAACAACUUAAUUUAAGAACCCAUCAUCAUCUUAUGAAGAACUUUUAAUGCUUCAAAGAUCCAUUUUUAAUACUAAUUGAAAGCAUUUAUAUUGAAGAACACAAGAUACUGAUAUUAACUAUCAAAGUUUAACCUUCAAAAUCCUUCAAACUGCCAAAACUGUAAAUAAAAUGCUCUGAUUUUGUUACAACUUUC
This is a long non-coding RNA of Parus major (Great Tit), 9225 nucleotides long. RefSeq lists it as uncharacterized. The transcript has 2 exons. NCBI's taxonomy places the organism in Eukaryota, Metazoa, Chordata, Aves, Passeriformes, Paridae. The record is from RefSeq and is a predicted model, not a curated record.